This 523-nucleotide ribosomal RNA is filed under the name fungal sp. 2515 YZ-2011. RNAcentral describes it as "eukaryotic LSU rRNA". The stretch from base 169 to 322 matches the Rfam family "5.8S ribosomal RNA". Lineage: Eukaryota; Fungi. The record is from RNAcentral.
UUACACAAAUAUGAAGGCGGGCUGGAACCUCUCGGGGUUACAGCCUUGCUGAAUUAUUCACCCUUGUCUUUUGCGUACUUCUUGUUUCCUUGGUGGGUUCGCCCACCACUAGGACAAACAUAAACCUUUUGUAAUUGCAAUCAGCGUCAGUAACAAAUUAAUAAUUACAACUUUCAACAACGGAUCUCUUGGUUCUGGCAUCGAUGAAGAACGCAGCGAAAUGCGAUAAGUAGUGUGAAUUGCAGAAUUCAGUGAAUCAUCGAAUCUUUGAACGCACAUUGCGCCCUUUGGUAUUCCAAAGGGCAUGCCUGUUCGAGCGUCAUUUGUACCCUCAAGCUUUGCUUGGUGUUGGGCGUCUUGUCUCUAGCUUUGCUGGAGACUCGCCUUAAAGUAAUUGGCAGCCGGCCUACUGGUUUCGGAGCGCAGCACAAGUCGCACUCUCUAUCAGCAAAGGUCUAGCAUCCAUUAAGCCUUUUUUUCAACUUUUGACCUCGGAUCAGGUAGGGAUACCCGCUGAACUUAA